CAGUAGCCACGGUAAUACGGAGGGUGCAAGCGUUAAUCGGAAUUACUGGGCGUAAAGCGCACGCAGGCGGUUUGUUAAGUCAGAAGUGAAAUCCCCGAGCUUAACUUGGGAACUGCAUUUGAAACUGGCAAGCUAGAGUCUUGUAGAGGGGGGUAGAAUUCCAGGUGUAGCGGUGAAAUGCGUAGAGAUCUGGAGGAAUACCGGUGGCGAAGGCGGCCCCCUGGACAAAGACUGACGCUCAGGUGCGAAAGCGUGGGGAGCAAACAGGAUUAGAUACCCCAGUAGUCCCUGUCUCUUAUAC
This 301-nucleotide ribosomal RNA is filed under the name uncultured bacterium. RNAcentral describes it as "partial 16S ribosomal RNA". It matches the Rfam family "Bacterial small subunit ribosomal RNA", at positions 509 to 807 of the family's 1533-position model. The record is from RNAcentral.